CCUGCGGGAGGCAGCAGUGAGGAAUAUUGGUCAAUGGACGAGAGUCUGAACCAGCCAAGUAGCGUGAAGGAUGACUGCCCUAUGGGUUGUAAACUUCUUUUAUAAGGGAAUAAAGUGAUCCACGUGUGGGUUUUUGUAUGUACCAUAUGAAUAAGGAUCGGCUAACUACGUGCCAGCAGCCGCGGUAAUACGGAGGAUCCGAGCGUUAUCCGGAUUUGUUGGGUUUAAAGGGAGCGUAGAUGGAUUGUUAAGUCAGUUGUGAAAGUUUGCGGCUCAACCGUAAAAUUGCAGUUGAUACUGGCAGCCUUGAGUACAGUUGAGGUAGGCGGAAUUCGUGGUGUAGCGGUGAAAUGCUUAGAUAUCACGAAGAACUCCGAUUGCGAAGGCAGCCCACUAGACUGCAACUGACACUGAUGCUCGAAAGUGUGGGUAUCAAACAGGAUUAGAUACCCUUGUAGUC
RNAcentral lists this ribosomal RNA (460 nucleotides) under uncultured bacterium. RNAcentral's name for it is "partial 16S ribosomal RNA". It matches the Rfam family "Bacterial small subunit ribosomal RNA", at positions 338 to 795 of the family's 1533-position model. The record is from RNAcentral.